CGCACGGGUGAGUAACACGUAUCCAACCUGCCGUCUACUCUUGGACAGCCUUCUGAAAGGAAGAUUAAUACAAGAUGGCAUCAUGAGUCCGCAUGUUCACAUGAUUAAAGGUAUUCCGGUAGACGAUGGGGAUGCGUUCCAUUAGAUAGUAGGCGGGUAACGGCCCACCUAGUCUUCGAUGGAUAGGGGUUCUGAGAGGAAGGUCCCCCACAUUGGAACUGAGACACGGUCCAA
Molecule: ribosomal RNA, 234 nt
Filed under: uncultured bacterium
Lineage: Bacteria
Description: partial 16S ribosomal RNA
Rfam family: Bacterial small subunit ribosomal RNA
Source: RNAcentral